CAGGCUUCUCGCCUUCGUCCAAUCGCGUGCGAGGUCAUGGCCACGGCUCACACAGCAGUACAAGAGGACCAUUAAGCGAUGUUUGGUUUGGUGUUUGUAACUCUCCAAGAAGAGAAGACGGGUGCACAAUCCCAAGAUUGCGGAGGCUGUACGGCGUCUCUGAGGCACACUGCAGGCGCUUUGAACCAGAGCAAAGACUAACGUCGCCUCAUAACGAAGCCGUGACCUCCUAUUUGGUUGGGGCUAUUUUAGCAAGUCCACAUUUAAC
This is a non-coding RNA of Misgurnus anguillicaudatus (oriental weatherfish), 268 nucleotides long. Lineage: Eukaryota; Metazoa; Chordata; Actinopteri; Cypriniformes; Cobitidae. The record is from RefSeq and is a predicted model, not a curated record.